UCCUACGGGAGGCAGCAGUGGGGAAUAUUGCACAAUGGGGGAAACCCUGAUGCAGCGACGCCGCGUGAGUGAAGAAGUAUCUCGGUACGUAAAGCUCUAUCAGCAGGGAAGAAAAAAAGUCUUUGGCUUUGGACGGUACCUGACUAAGAAGCCCCGGCUAACUACGUGCCAGCAGCCGCGGUAAUACGUAGGGGGCAAGCGUUAUCCGGAUUUAUUGGGUUUAAAGGGUGCGCAGGCGGACCAUCGAGUCAGCGGUAAAAUCGUGGGGCCCAACCCCAUCCCGCCGUUGAAACUGGCGGUCUUGG
Molecule: ribosomal RNA, 305 nt
Filed under: uncultured bacterium
Lineage: Bacteria
Description: bacterial SSU rRNA
Rfam family: Bacterial small subunit ribosomal RNA
Source: RNAcentral